Molecule: ribosomal RNA, 138 nt
Filed under: uncultured eukaryote
Lineage: Eukaryota
Description: partial 18S ribosomal RNA
Rfam family: Eukaryotic small subunit ribosomal RNA
Source: RNAcentral
UGGUGGAGUGAUUUGUCUGGUUAAUUCCGUUAACGAACGAGACCUUAGCCUACUAACUAGUCGAACCAAUCUCCGAUUGGCUGCGACUUCUUAGAGGGACUUUGUGUUUUAAGCACAAGGAAGUUUGAGGCAAUAACA